CGUUGCGAUCAUACCAGCACUAAUGCACCGGAUCCCAUCAGAACUCCGCAGUUAAGCGUGCUUGGGCGAGAGUAGUACUAGGAUGGGUGACCCCCUGGGAAGUCCUCGUGUUGCAACCCC
Molecule: ribosomal RNA, 120 nt
Filed under: Helianthus annuus (common sunflower)
Lineage: Eukaryota; Viridiplantae; Streptophyta; Magnoliopsida; Asterales; Asteraceae
Also listed under: 1 other name
Source: RNAcentral